RNAcentral lists this ribosomal RNA (465 nucleotides) under uncultured bacterium. RNAcentral describes it as "partial 16S ribosomal RNA". It matches the Rfam family "Bacterial small subunit ribosomal RNA", at positions 28 to 507 of the family's 1533-position model. The record is from RNAcentral.
GACGAACGCUGGCGGCGUGCUUAACACAUGCAAGUCGUACGGUAAGGCCCUUUCGGGGGUCCACGAGUGGCGAACGGGUGAGUAACACGUGAGUAACCUGCCCACAACUUUGGGAUAACGCUAGGAAACUGGUGCUAAUACUGGAUAUGUGCCCCUGCUGCAUGGUGGGGGUUGGAAAGCUCCGGCGGUUGUGGAUGGACUCGCGGCCUAUCAGCUUGUUGGUGGGGUAGUGGCCUACCAAGGCGGCGACGGGUAGCCGGCCUGAGAGGGUGACCGGCCACAUUGGGACUGAGAUACGGCCCAGACUCCUACGGGAGGCAGCAGUGGGGAAUAUUGCACAAGGGGCGCAAGCCUGAUGCAGCAACGCCGCGGGCGGGAUGACGGCCUUCGGGUUGUAAACCGCUUUCAGCAGGGACGAAGCUUUUUGUGACGGUACCUGCAGAAGAAGCACCGGCUAACUACGUG